GGGGGCGUAGUGCUAACUGGUUAGAACGCUAGCUUGUCAUGUUAGAAGGUGUGGGUUCAAAUCCCAUCGCCCUCG
RNAcentral lists this transfer RNA (75 nucleotides) under Vermamoeba vermiformis. RNAcentral describes it as "tRNA-Asp". It matches the Rfam family "tRNA". Rfam says of the family: Transfer RNA (tRNA) molecules are approximately 80 nucleotides in length. Their secondary structure includes four short double-helical elements and three loops (D, anti-codon, and T loops). RNAcentral also lists the same sequence under 1 other name. Lineage: Eukaryota; Tubulinea; Echinamoebida; Vermamoebidae. The record is from RNAcentral.